Long non-coding RNA from Neogale vison (American mink), 190 nucleotides. RefSeq lists it as uncharacterized. The record is from RefSeq and is a predicted model, not a curated record. The transcript has 3 exons. NCBI's taxonomy places the organism in Eukaryota, Metazoa, Chordata, Mammalia, Carnivora, Mustelidae.
UUGGUGGCAGAACUCAGUCAAAUGACUACACGGACUUCAAGAGAGCUGGAAAAUGUAAUCUCGUCACGUGUCCAGGAAGAGGAGUUGGGUCGACAAUCAUCUCCGCCACACAAACCAGCAGGUUCACACCGAUGCGAUCCUGAUAAAAUAGGACCCUGAGAAAUUAAAAUCACCAAAAGCACCCUGAGGG